Non-coding RNA from Danio rerio (zebrafish), 420 nucleotides. The record is from RefSeq and is a predicted model, not a curated record. Lineage: Eukaryota; Metazoa; Chordata; Actinopteri; Cypriniformes; Danionidae.
AUGGUUGAUAAAGACCAGGCUGAAAUCAAUGCUAUUCAAAAGGUGUUCAACGAGUCAGACAUUCUCCUUUGUUGGUACCAUGUAACGCAAGCAGUAACUCGUUGGCUGUCAAAAUCUGAAUCUGGUGUGAGUGGACCUGAAAAGGCAGAUUCAAGAGCGCACAUCAUGCAGUUUAUGUCAGAGAUGAAAUGCUGUUCAACGGCACAAGAAUUUAAGGAAAAGGCUGAGAUGUUUCACUGCCAGUUUAGAAACUUCAAAAAUGUCUGCAAGUACUUCAAGAACCACUGGGAGACAAUUGGUCAUCUCUGGUCAAACUUUGGAAGAUGCUAUAAACAUGGAGAUUCUGACACAAACAAUCUGAUAGAACGACAUGGACACACAACUGCAAGCCCAUACCAAUACCUUGAUGCUAACAAAUAA